RNAcentral lists this ribosomal RNA (497 nucleotides) under uncultured bacterium. Its description in RNAcentral is "partial 16S ribosomal RNA". It matches the Rfam family "Bacterial small subunit ribosomal RNA", at positions 28 to 507 of the family's 1533-position model. The record is from RNAcentral.
GAUGAACGCUGGCGGCGUGCCUAAUACAUGCAAGUCGAGCGAACAGAUGAGGAGCUUGCUCCUCUGACGUUAGCGGCGGACGGGUGAGUAACACGUGGAUAACCUACCUAUAAGACUGGGAUAACUUCGGGAAACCGGAGCUAAUACCGGAUAAUAUAUUGAACCGCAUGGUUCAAUAGUGAAAGACGGUUUUGCUGUCACUUAUAGAUGGAUCCGCGCCGCAUUAGCUAGUUGGUAAGGUAACGGCUUACCAAGGCAACGAUGCGUAGCCGACCUGAGAGGGUGAUCGGCCACACUGGAACGGAGACACGGUCCAGACUACUACGGGAGGCAGCAGUAGGGAAUCUGCCGCAAUGGGCGAAAGCCUGACGGAGCAACGCCGCGUGAGUGAUGAAGGUCCUCGGAUCGUAAAACUCGGUUAUUAGGGAAGAACAAAUGUGUAAGUAACUAUGCACGUCUUGACGGUACCUAAUCAGAAAGCCACGGCUAGCUACGUG